This 253-nucleotide ribosomal RNA is filed under the name uncultured prokaryote. RNAcentral describes it as "partial 16S ribosomal RNA". It matches the Rfam family "Bacterial small subunit ribosomal RNA", at positions 525 to 777 of the family's 1533-position model. The record is from RNAcentral.
ACGUAGGGUGCAAGCGUUAAUCGGAAUUACUGGGCGUAAAGCGUGCGCAGGCGGCUAUGCAAGACAGAUGUGAAAUCCCCGGGCUCAACCUGGGAACUGCAUUUGUGACUGCAUGGCUAGAGUGCGGCAGAGGGGGAUGGAAUUCCGCGUGUAGCAGUGAAAUGCGUAGAUAUCAGGAGGAACACCGGUGGCGAAGGCGCACAUCUGGCCCAAUACUGACGCUGAAGCGCGAAAGCUAGGGGAGCAAACGGGA